UAUGGGAAGGGUUCUCUAUGGAAAUAGAACGCCAACGCUGACCAGGCUGUACAUAACGGUUAACAGCUUGAUGGUCAGAGAGAGGGGACGCGGUUUCUUCGCAUCGCAACAGAUUUCGUGGCUCGACUGCUUGUAGGUGAGAGGGGAGGGGGGGACGCGGGUUUCGUUGGGAUCGCAGCUGUAGACUCUGUGGAUCGAAUUUUACUGUAAAUGUGAAGAAGGUGUAACAUGUCCACGAUAUAUUUCUAUCCGUGAGUAGGGGAUGGAUCGGAGGGGAUGUCGAGGUCACGGCCGCGGGGAUUCUUUGGUUCCGUGCUCAUUCGAAUCCCGUGACUCUACCGGGAGCGAGCUCCGAAAACAACACUAUGCCUAUUCCGAGCAUAACGGACAUUACAUGGCACAAUCAUAGGGCGUACCCGAAAAGUACUAGGGGCUUUCGUCGGCGUGUUCCAAACUCUCGCGGGCGUGAGGUCUUGCGAUGGAAGUCGACCCACACGAUUCUAUACCCACCCUUCCAUGAUUUCCAGUGGUGCGAAGGUUCUGGAAAUCCCUAAACUUCUACCCUACCCCAUUACGUCACCCUGUCCCUUGGAAAUUAUAAGUCUACUCCAUGUUCAUUGCUAAUAACAUUCAAUAUAUUUCGUUGUACUUCAUCAUAGACAUGUUGCUUCAAUCAAAAACUAGCAAAC
This is a long non-coding RNA of Drosophila miranda, 689 nucleotides long. RefSeq lists it as uncharacterized. NCBI's taxonomy places the organism in Eukaryota, Metazoa, Arthropoda, Insecta, Diptera, Drosophilidae. The transcript has 2 exons. The record is from RefSeq and is a predicted model, not a curated record.